AAAGUUGGAAAUGGGUGCCUUAAGGUUUCCAACAGGACGAAUAAGAUCUAACCCUCAAGUGAUACAAGUAAUCAUUCAGUCGGUUCUGUAUCUCCACCUUAGUU
This 104-nucleotide non-coding RNA is filed under the name unclassified sequences. RNAcentral describes it as "Methylobacterium-1 RNA". It matches the Rfam family "Methylobacterium-1 RNA". RNAcentral also lists the same sequence under 1 other name. The record is from RNAcentral.